This is an RNA transcript of Synchiropus splendidus (mandarinfish), 7886 nucleotides long. It is a transcript of the gene named dnaJ homolog subfamily C member 13, with no coding region annotated. The transcript is spliced from 58 exons. Lineage: Eukaryota; Metazoa; Chordata; Actinopteri; Syngnathiformes; Callionymidae. The record is from RefSeq and is a predicted model, not a curated record.
CAGCACUCUCUCGCCUCCAGGAACAUGGCAGCGGCGUAACUGAGCACCUUCAGCAUCUGAGUGGCAAAACUGCGCCGCACCAGGAGGGUGGGGGGCCGAGGGACGGCGACGACUAGCAUCUCUCUGUGACAUUUACAGGUCCUCUGAAAAGAUGAACGUGGUCAAGGAAAACAAAGACCUGGCCUGUUUCUACACCACCAAGCACUCCUGGAGGGGAAAGUACAAGCGAGUCUUCUCAGUGGGAACCCAUGGCAUCACCACCUACAACCCCACCACGCUAGAAGUUACAAAUCAGUGGCCUUAUGGAGACAUCUGUGGCAUCGGCCCGGUGGGGAAAGGUCAGGGAACGGAGUUCAGCCUCACAUUUCGAAAGGGCAGCGGCAAGAAAUCGGAAACGCUCAAAUUCUCAACUGAACAUCGGACAGAGCUGCUUACGGAAGCACUGAGAUUCAGAACAGAGUUUUCGGAGGGGAAGAUCACAGGCAGGCGCUACAACUGCUACAAGCACCACUGGAGCGACACACGAAAGCCCGUCAGUUUAGAGGUGACGCCGGGUGGCAUCGACCAGAUCGACCCGCACACCAACAGAGUGAUAUGUUCUUAUGACUAUCGCAACAUCGAGGGCUUCGUCGAGGUGUCGGACUACCAAGGAGGGUUCUGCAUCCUGUACGGCGGCUUCAGUCGGCUGCAUCUGUUUGCCUCCGAGCACAGAGAUGACAUCAUCCGCUGCGCCAUUGAGCAUGCUGGGAAUUUCAUCGGCAUCAUGUUGCGGCUGCGGAAAGAGCCGCUGACCUUUGAGGGGUUUGUGACGGACAGGCUGGGGAAGUACAGCUCGGAUGAGAGCAUCACCUCUUUGGCUGAGUUUGUGGUGCAGAAGAUCACAUCUCGACAUCCGGAGCCGAUCAAGCGAAUCCUGGCUCUGACCGAGACGUGUCUAGUGGAGAGAGACCCUGCGUCAUACAACAUCGUCACCAUCAAACCCUUCGGGGAGGUGUUUGCGCUCAUCUGUGACGUAGACAACCCUCAGGUGUUCACGGUGGAAUUCAUCAGGGGCCAAAUCAGAAAGUUCUCCUCCACGGAAAGGGACUCGUUGUUGGCCAGCUUGCUGGACGGUGUUAGAGCAUCAGGCAACAGAGAUGUGUGUGUCAAGAUGGCGCCGACGCAGCGAGGGCAGAGGUGGGGUCUUCUCAGCAUGCCUGUGGAUGAGGAGGUGGAGAGUCUGCAUCUGAAAUUCCUAGCAGCACCUCCGAAUGGGAAUUUUGCAGAUGCUGUCUUCAGGUUCAACGCCAACAUAUCCUACAGCGGCGUGCUGCAUGCCGUCACUCAAGACGGUCUUUUCUCAGAGAACAAAGAGAAGCUGAUCAACAACGCCAUCCUGGCUCUGCUGUCUCAGGAGGUCGAGCUGCCCGCCCUGAACACGGAGCUGGAGAGUCACUUCCAGGCCAUCCGCCGGCUCGUGGCCUCCAAAGCCGGCUUCCAAGCCUUCACCCAGCUGCCAAAGUCUGGUCAGGGGUCCGGACUCACAGAUGGAACGUUCAGAGAAAAGUUGGGAGUAAAGACUGUAAAAGCUUUAAAACGGAACAACAACGGUGUGACGCACGCUGCUAUAGACAUGCUCUGUGCCCUCAUGUGUCCGAUGCACGAUGACUACGACCUGCGACAGGAGCAGCUGAACAAAGCAUCUCUGCUGUCUUCCAAGAAGUUCCUGGAGAACCUUCUUGAAAAAUUCAUCACCAACGUGGAUCACGGAACGGGAGCUUUGGUCAUCAGCUCUCUGCUGGACUUCCUGACCUUCGCCUUGUGCGCCCCCUACAGUGAGACCACUGAGGGUCAGCAGUUCGACAUGCUCCUGGAAAUGGUGGCUUCAAACGGCCGAACGCUUUUCAAACUGUUCCAGCAUCCGUCGAUGGCGAUUGUGAAGGGAGCUGGUCUGGUGAUGAAGGCCAUCAUAGAGGAAGGAGACAAAGAGAUCGCCACAAAGAUGCAAGACCUGGCUUUAAGUGAAGGUGCUCUUCCCAGACAUCUUCACACGUCCUUAUUCACCAUCAGCAGUGACCAGAGGAUGCUCACCAACAGACAGCUGAGCCGUCACUUGGUGGGACUGUGGACAGCAGAAAAUCCUGUGGCCAUGAAUCUUCUCAAAAGAAUAUUGCCCACAGGACUUCUGGCCUACAUGGACAGUCCAGACUCUGUGCCAGAGAAAGACGUGGACAGAAUGCACGUCCGAGAUAACUUGAAAAUAGCCACGGAUCAGCUGAACAGGAACAAAGUGCCUGAGUGGCAGCGCAUUGCGGGCAAAGCAGCCAAAGAGGUGGAGAAGUUUGCCAAGGAGAAGGCAGACAUUGUACUGAUGCACUGGAGAGAUAAGAUGGGCAUCGCUCAGAAGGAGCAGGACAGAAAUAACCUGAAUCCAAAUCAAAAGCCGGUCAUCUUGAGAAAGCGGCGACAGAGAAUAAAAAUUGAAGCCAAUUGGGAGCUUUUCUACUACAGAUUCCAGCUCGAUCACGCACGCUCGAACUUGAUAUGGAACUUGAAGACGAGGGAGGAGCUGAGAGACGCCCUGGAAGGCGAGAUGCGAGCCUUCAACGUGGAUCGUGAGCUCGGCAACGCCACGGUCAUUUCCUGGAACCACCAGGAAUUUGAGGUCAAAUAUGAGUGCCUUUCCGACGAGAUCAAAAUCGGGGAUUACUACUUGCGCCUGCUGCUGGAGGAGGAUGAGAACGAAGAGUCGAGCGCCAUCAAAAGAUCAUACGAGUUCUUCAACGAGCUCUAUCACCGCUUCCUGCUGACACCCAAAGUGACGAUGAAGUGCCUGUGCUUGCAGGCGCUUGCCAUAGUCUACGGCAAAUGUUUCGAGGAGAUCGGGCCGUUUAGCGACACCAAAUACAUCGUGGGCAUGCUGGACCGGUGCACCGACAAGCUGGAAAGAGACCGACUCAUUCUCUUCCUCAACAAACUGAUUCUGAACAGAAAAAACGUGAAGGAGGUGAUGGACUCCAAUGGAGUGAGGAUCUUGGUGGACCUGUUGACAUUAGCUCACCUGCACACCAGUAGAGCGACUGUGCCACUGCAGAGUAAUGUCUUGGAGGCGUCACCAGACAUGAAGCGGGAGAGCGAGAAGGAGUGGUACUUUGGCAACGCUGACAAAGAACGAAGAGGACCUUUUAGUUUUGAAGAGAUGCAGGAGUUUUGGAACACGGGAGUGCUGACGGCAAAGACGCGCUGCUGGGCUCAGGGCAUGGACGGCUGGCGGCCCCUGCAGGCCAUCCCUCAGCUGAAGUGGUGCCUGCUGGCGACAGGGCAGGCAGUGAUGAACGAGUCUGACCUGGCAACCCUCAUCCUCAACAUGCUCAUCACCAUGUGCUCCUACUAUCCAAGCAGAGACCAGGACAACGCCGUCAUCCGUCCGCUGCCGAAAAUCAAGCGGAUGAUCAGCGACAAUGCGUGUCUCCCUCACAUUGUCCAGUUACUCUUGACCUUUGACCCCAUCCUGGUGGAGAAAGUGGCCAACGUCCUCUACCUGGUGAUGCAGGACAACCCCAAUCUGCAGCGCCUUUACUUGUGUGGUGUCUUCUUCUUCAUCAUGAUGUACACAGGCUCCAAUGUCCUUCCAGUCGCCAGGUUCCUGAAGUACACUCAUCUGAAGCAGGCCUUCAAGUCAGAGGAGUCCAAAGGUCAGGACAUCAUCCAGCGCAGUGUCCUUGGACCAGUUCUGCCCGAGGCCAUGGUGUGUUACCUGGAGAACUACGAGGCUGAACGCUUCUCUGAGAUUUUCCUGGGAGAGUUCGACACACCAGAAGCCAUUUGGAGCAGCGAGAUGAGGCGGAUGAUGAUCGAGAAAAUAGCAGCUCAUGUCGCCGACUUCAGUCCGAGGCUGCAGAGCAACACGCGUGCGCUUUACCAGUACUGCCCCAUCCCGAUCAUCAGCUUCCCCCAACUGGACAACGAGCUCUUCUGCAACAUCUACUACCUCAGACAUCUGUGUGACACUGUUCGCUUCCCCAACUGGCCCAUCAAAGAUGCGGUGAAGCUACUUAAAGACACAUUGGAAGCCUGGAAGAGGGAAGUGGAAAAGAAGCCUCCUUCGAUGUCUGUGGAUGACGCUUACGAAGUCCUCAACCUUCCUAAAGGACAGGGGCAGCAUGAGGAGAGCAAAAUCAGGAAGGCCUACUUCAGACUGGCACAGAAGUACCAUCCAGACAAGAACCCGGAGGGCCGAGACAUUUUUGAGAAAGUCAACAAAGCCUACGAGUUCCUCUGCACAAAAUCUGCUCGCUUCCUGGAUGGACCCGACCCAGAGAACAUCAUCCUCAUCCUCAAAACGCAGAGCAUCCUCUUCAACCGGCACAAACAAGAACUGGAACCCUACAAGUACGCUGGCUACCCCAUGCUCAUCAAGACCAUCACCAUGGAGACGCAGGACGACCAGCUCUUCUCCAAGACCUCCCCCCUGCUCCCUGCUGCUGCCGAGCUGGCCUUCCACACAGUCAACUGUUCCGCUCUUAAUGCUGAGGAGCUGCGGCGAGAAAACGGCAUCGAGAUCUUGUUGGAGGCCCUGUCUCGGUGCGUCAGUGUUUUGACUGCGUCCAGUAAAGCUGAUGACAUGGCAGUUCAGGUGUGCGGGCACAUCUGCAGGUGCUACAGCGUCGCAGCUCAGUUCGAGGAGUGCAGAGAGAAGAUCAUCGAGCUGCCGAACAUCAUCAGAGACCUUUGUCAUGUCCUGUACUACGGCAAGGGGCUUCCAAAAACAGCAGCUCUGGCUGUCCUGUGUGUGAGCUCCUUCGCCGUGGACUUCUUCCUCCAGACCCACCUCUACCACGCCGGCGUGCUCUGGCACCUGCUGGUCAACCUCUUCAACUACGACUACACUCUGGAGGAGAGCGGCGUCCAGACCAGCCAGGAGACCAACCAGCAGGAGGUGGCUAACAGUCUGGCCAAGCUCAGCCUGGUGUCCCUCAGUCGGCUGGCUGGGUACAACCCGGUCCCCGCCAAUCCAGACAUGACCAACCACGUCUCGGAAACCAAUGGCGUCGAGGGAACGCCGCCGGAGAAUCCCACUGUACGCAAGAGUCUCGCCGCCAUGUUGACGCCGUACAUCUCCAGAAAGCUGGGAACUGUCUCCCCACCUGAGAUCCUGAAACUGCUCAACAGUAACUCUGAGAACCCGUACCUCAUCUGGAACAACGGAACACGAGCCGAGCUGAUGGAGUUUCUGGAGCAGCAGCAGGAGGGAAACAUCAAGAGGGGAGAGAACGACAAAAGCUUUGGUGCUGAGUUUGUCUUCAGUGAUCACAGUAAGGAGCUGAUCGUCGGGGAGAUUUUCGUCCGUGUUUACAACGAACAGCCCACGUUCCCACUCGAGUUUCCCAAAGCCUUCGCCGCCAGUCUGCUGGACUACGUGGGCUCUCAAGCCCAGUACCUGCACACCCUGCUGGCCAUGAGUCAGAGCAACAAGGUGGAGUCCCAGCAGCAUGCUGAGAGGCUGCGCUUCGCUGAAAUGGCUUUGGAGGCUCUUCGCAACGUCAUCAAAAACAACCCUGGUUCUGAGACGGAGUGCAUCGGACAUUUCAAGCUGCUCUUCUCCUUGUUGCGGGUCCACGGCGCUGGCAGGGUCCAGCAGCUGGUUCUUGAGGUUGUAAAUACUGUGACGUCAAACCAGGAGUGCGUGAGCAACAUCGCCGAGUCGCUGGUUCUGUCCAACCUCCUGCUGCUGCUGCACUCGCUGCCUUCUAGUCGACAGAUGGUGCUGGAAACUCUCUACGCUCUCACGUCCAACACUAAAAUCGUCAAAGAGGCGAUGGCCAAAGGUGCUCUGAUCUACCUGCUGGAUCUCUUCUGCAACUGCACUCACCCUCAGGUCCGCACGCAAACCGCCGAGCUCUUCUCCAAAAUGACCUCAGACAAGCUGGUCGGGCCGAAGGUUCGACUCACCAUGAUCAGGUUCCUGCCUGCAGUUUUCAUGGAUGCCAUGAGGGACAAUGCAGAAGCUGCAGUGCACAUAUUCGAGGGAACUCAUGAGAACCCAGAGCUGAUCUGGAACGACAACUCCAGGGAGAAGGUGUCCACGACGGUGCGGGAGAUGAUGCUCGAGCACUUUAAACAGCAGAAGGAGAAUCCUGAUGUGAACUGGAAACUUCCCGAGGACUUCACUGUGGCUUACGGGGCAGGACAGGGCGAAAUAGAGGUGGGCGGCGUCUUCCUCCGCAUCUUCAUCGCUCAGCCUGGCUGGGUGUUGAGGAAGCCUCGAGAGUUCCUGGUGUCUCUGCUGGAGACUCUGACGGAGCUGCUGGAGAAGAACAACCCCAAUGGCGAAGCUCUGGAGACGGUGACCACCGCGGCUGUUUGUCUGUUCAGUACUCAGACUCAGCUGGCCGAUCAGGUUCCCCCUCUGGGCCACCUACCUCGUGUGCUGUUGGCCAUGAACCACAAGAACAACGCUGUGCCCAAGAGCGCCAUCCGCCUCAUCCAUGUGCUGUCGGACAAUGAGCUGUGUGUGCGAUCCCUGGCUUCCCUGGAGACUAUUGGGCCUCUGAUGGCUGGAAUGAAAGUUCGUCCCGACAUGGCUGGACAUGCGUGUGAAGCUCUCAACCGGAUGUUCCAGAAGGAGCAGACAGAACUAGUGGCUCAGGCACUCAGAGUGGAGCUGGUGCCGUAUCUCCUCAAGCUUCUGGAAGGAAUCGGAUUGGAGACGUUGGACAACCCGUCGGCAACAAAAGCCCAGAUCGUCAAAGCCCUCAAGUCCAUGACUCGCAGUCUUCAGUUUGGGGAACAGGUCAACGAGAUCCUGGCCAAGUCUUCAGUAUGGAGUGCCUUCAAGGACCAGAAGCACGACCUGUUCAUCUCCGAGUCUCAGACCGCUGGUUACCUGACGGGGGUCUCCACUCCCUCCCUCCUGGCCGCCAGCAGCCCACUGCGAGGUGGGCUCUAGAGUCCAGAGCUGGACCUCAGAGCCCCCUCCUCUCUGUUGCUCUCUCUCAGGUCCAGGAGUAGCAGGCUACCUUACGGCAGGAACCGGCGCCACGGUCAUGUCCAUCGUCCCGCCCCCCGUGGACAACGACAGCGGAGACCAAGGCUGACGGCCCCUGGCGGCCCCGCUCAGACUGCCCAGCACCUCCGCCGCUCCGGAGGUCCGAUCUGCUCCCACCACGAGGCAGAGUUGAAGGAGCAGCUCACCGCUGACCGACACCAGAACCGCUGCGACGCCUCCUUCAGCAUCACUCUCCUCUCUGGACGAAUCUCACGUCAAAAUCAUUUUUAGAAAAAAACAAAAGAAAAAAAAGCCAGACCACCGUGUUGUUUCUGUGAAGCUCAGAAGAGUUUACUUUUUGUAUGGAAAUAUUUUUUACUCCGUUUUCUUCUGUUUUUUCCCCAUCGGAUUAUUACUCUUCCUGAAUCUUUGCUUUUCUGACUCCUUCCAUUCGUGAUCAGCCGCUCACUAACGGACCUUCCAGGCUGCUUAAUCACUUCCGACAUGAGAAGAACCUCCACCAGACUCAGAUGAUUCCUCCCGCUCUGCGCUCUAAUCCCACCCGGCACUAGAAUAUCCAGCGUCCGCUGCGACCCGACAGAACGACUAGUGCAAUUUAUGAGAUGUUGGUUGUACAAUGACGUAUAUAAACUUUCUAUAUUGAAUGUACAUUGAAAAAAAAAAAUAAAUCAGAAGCACUUGUACAUAAAAUUUUAAGAAUAAAAGGGAACCACCAGUGCGGGUUACACUUCUUUGCUUUUGAGCUUGGUUGUGCAGUGGAGCGUUGCAUUGUCGUGCUGUGUGUGUGGCGCAGUAACCACUCUGACCAGCAGAGGGAGUCAGAGUUCUCGGCUUCCGUCUGGUGGUGAACAGUGAAUGUGGGUUCCCUUGCCAGAGUGGCCGUGUAACCGUGCUUGUU